This 745-nucleotide ribosomal RNA is filed under the name uncultured bacterium. Its description in RNAcentral is "bacterial SSU rRNA". It matches the Rfam family "Bacterial small subunit ribosomal RNA", at positions 28 to 776 of the family's 1533-position model. The record is from RNAcentral.
GAUGAACGCUGGCGGCGUGCUUAACACAUGCAAGUCGAGCGGAGAUAAAAUGAAAGCUUGCUUUUAAUUUAUCUUAGCGGCGGACGGGUGAGUAACGUGUGGGCAACCUGCCUCAUACAGAGGGAUAAUCAUGUGAAAACGUGACUAAUACCGCAUGUCGUUUCGGGAGGGCAUCCUCCUGAAAGAAAAGGAGCAAUCCGGUAUGAGAUGGGCCCGCAUCUGAUUAGCUAGUUGGUGAGAUAACAGCCCACCAAGGCGACGAUCAGUAGCCGACCUGAGAGGGUGAUCGGCCACAUUGGGACUGAGACACGGCCCAAACUCCUACGGGAGGCAGCAGUGGGGAAUAUUGCACAAUGGGGGAAACCCUGAUGCAGCAACGCCGCGUGAAGGAAGACGGUUUUCGGAUUGUAAACUUCUAUCAAUAGGGACGAAGAAAGUGACUGUACCUAAAUAAGAAGCCCCGGCUAACUACGUGCCAGCAGCCGCGGUAAUACGUAGGGGGCAAGCGUUAUCCGGAAUUACUGGGUGUAAAGGGUGAGUAGGCGGCAUGGCAAGUAAGAUGUGAAAGCCCGAGGCUUAACCUCGGGAUUGCAUUUUAAACUGCUAAGCUAGAGUACAGGAGAGGAAAGCGGAAUUCCUAGUGUAGCGGUGAAAUGCGUAGAUAUUAGGAAGAACACCAGUGGCGAAGGCGGCUUUCUGGACUGGAAACUGACGCUGAGGCACGAAAGCGUGGGGAGCGAACAGG